This 280-nucleotide non-coding RNA is filed under the name Paludibacter jiangxiensis. The record is from RNAcentral. Lineage: Bacteria; Pseudomonadati; Bacteroidota; Bacteroidia; Bacteroidales; Paludibacteraceae.
ACCUUUGCCGCCGCAUUUGGUGAUUGUUUCCUGUGCUGGAAACGAUCCAAAAGGGAAUCCGGUGCGUUUGUCGCUGACGAACUAUUCCGGAGCUGUACCCGCAGCUGUAAAUCCCAUAAACGUAUCUGAAAUACCAUUGCCACUGUUUUCGGUAAGCAGUAUGCAGUAAAAAGUACGCAGUUCUAACACUCGAUACUCAUUACUCAUUACUCAUUACUAAAAUGGGAAGGCCUCAGAUACGGGGAUGAGCCAGAAGACCUGCCAGUGCUUUUAUCAACCG